GUUGAAAAUACACAUGAACGUAAUGCCAAUAGCGGAAAACACAACUCGAGUCUGUAGUUCCAUUUAACUUAGUAGUAUAAAGUAAGCGAAAAGCAGUGGAGAUGUUUGGAAACAUUCAGUAAAGAAGAGCCUCUUGCAACGCAAAAUAAACUGAUUGGGUAGUCUUGCUGAUUCUUAGAUUCAGAGGACAGUAUUUGUAUGACGAGAAUGGCAAUUCGUAUUUGGACUGUAUCAGCAACGUUCAGCACGUUCAGAGGCCAAUGAUCUAGCAUUACACUUGGAACCCAACAUGAAGACAUUGUGUUUGACCAGCCCCUGUAGCAGACACCUGUAGAGGUGUGUAGAGACGACCAACCCAGCCCAGACAUAUGCAGAUACUGUGGAGGACGUGAUAGACCAGGUGCACCAACAAGGUCGCAAGCUACCUCAAAUACAGUAGUGCGUGGACGAGGAGAACAGAAGUCUACAUUUGGACACAGAGCAGUGUGUAAUGCUGAUAGUGUAGUAACAGUGUAACAAUGCUUAUUAGUUGUGUUCUAAAUCUAUGGGUAUACUCUCUCAAUAUGGAAAUGAACCACAGGUUUCACCGUUUUUGAUUAAGUCGUUGCCCAGUCAUCUUCUUGCCCAAACGAUACUCAACCAAAGUAACAGAGUAGGUACUGCCUCGGCGCAUACGAUAUCAGUGUACUAUUAUACUGUACCAUUCUCUCAUCAGCGAAGACUAGGUCCAACAGCCAAAUCCUCACGAGUUAGGAUCAAGGUCAUUGUGCAUAAUAAAAGCUUUGCUCUGUUGGUAUCUCUCUACAGAUAUGUGUGCUCUGCAAGGAGAAUGUUUGUGGCAGACGAGGUGAAGACAGGUUUUGGGUGUGUGGGGAGUCACUUUUGGGCGUUCCAGCUUCAGGGUGAUGACUUCUACCCUGACAUAAUGACCAAGGUGAUGGGUAACAGGCAUCCCCUGGCAUGUAUGGUAACCAUAGUGGAGAUAGCUGGGGCCUUCACAGCCAACAAAGUGGAGUACUUUCACACAGUGAGAGACUAGUUAGUAGUUGCUGUUACUACCUAUUUAAAAAAAUGUUACCUUAAUUUAACUUGGCAAGUCAGUUAAGAACAAAUUCUUAUUUACAAUGAUGACCUACCCUGGCCAAACCCUAACGACCCUGGGCCAAUUGUGUGCCGCUCUAUAGAACUCCCAAUCACAGCCGGUUGUGAUACAGCCUGGAAUCUAACCAGGGUCUGUAGUGACGCCUCUAGCACUGAAAUGCAGUGUCUUAGACUGCUGCACCACUCGGGAGCCCCUAUAUAUAUUCUUUAGAAAAUAAGGUGUUGUGCACAACAGUUAAUGUUGUAAAUUGUUUACUGCACUGCAUCUGUGUACACAACCAAUAAACCCUGAUAUGUGCAACUCAAA
Molecule: long non-coding RNA, 1408 nt
Organism: Oncorhynchus kisutch (coho salmon)
Lineage: Eukaryota; Metazoa; Chordata; Actinopteri; Salmoniformes; Salmonidae
Exons: 4
Source: RefSeq, a predicted model, not a curated record